Hibiscus syriacus is the source of this 219-nucleotide long non-coding RNA. RefSeq lists it as uncharacterized. The record is from RefSeq and is a predicted model, not a curated record. The transcript has 2 exons. Lineage: Eukaryota; Viridiplantae; Streptophyta; Magnoliopsida; Malvales; Malvaceae.
UUAAAGUCGGCCUUUUAAGAUUCGCAAGGCCCCUCACAAAAGAUUUACCGUCAUUGAAUUCCCCAUCUCGUCUGGGCCGUGUACCCAGAGGUGCGGUUCAGAGGCUUUGUUGUAUAUAUAGAGAUAAUUGUUUCAGUUAUACCAAUUGAUCAGGUAUAAUAUCUCAAGUAUUACAUGUAGUUAUUCCUUUGUUUAUCAAUCUUUUAAUGCCUUGAAGUU